Long non-coding RNA from Oncorhynchus tshawytscha (Chinook salmon), 1232 nucleotides. NCBI's taxonomy places the organism in Eukaryota, Metazoa, Chordata, Actinopteri, Salmoniformes, Salmonidae. The record is from Ensembl.
GUAAGACUAGGCCAGUAAGACUAGGCCAGUAAGACUAGGCCAGUAAGGCUAGGCCAGUAAGACUAGGCCAGUAAGACUAGGCCACCUUCAUAACUCAUUUCCCAGACUGCUGCCAUUUUCUCUUGUUUCCUUACCAGUGUUUCAAUACAAUCAAAUAAAAUGUUUUUACAAAAGUAAUUUCUGAAUGGGAUAUGAGGAAAACAAACAACAACCAACACCUUAGGUAAGAUAAGAUACUGGUUCACUGAACAGAAAUAUAAAAUCAACCUGCAACAAGAUUUUACUGAGUAAUGUAACGGUCUUAUAAGGAAAUCAGUCAAUUUAAAUGAAUUAUUUAGGCCCUAAUCUUUGGAUUUCUCAUGACUUGGAAUACAAAUAUGCAUCUUUUGCUCACAGAUACCUAAAAAGGUUGGAGUGUGGAUCAGAAAACUAGUCAGUAUCUGGUGUGAUUACCAUUUGCCUCAUGCAGCGCAACACAUCUACUUCGCAUAGAGUUGAUCAGGCUGUUGAUUGUGGCCUGUGGAAUGUUGUCCCACUCCUCUUCAAUGGCUGUGUGAAGUUGCUGGAUAUUAGCAGGAACUGGAACACGCUGUCGUACGAGUCGAUCCAGAGCAUCCCAAACAUGCUCAAUAGGUGACAUGUCUGGUGAAUAUGCAGGUCAUUGAAGAACUGGGACAUUUUCAGCUUCCAGGAAUUGUGUACAGAUCCUUGCGACAUGGGGCCGUACAUUAUCAUGCUGAAACAUGAGGUGAUGGCGGUGGAUGAAUGUUACGACAAUGGGCCUCAGGAUCAUGUCAGAGUAUCUCUGAGCAUUUAAAUUGCCAUCAAUAAAAUGCAAUUGUGUUCACUGUCCAUAGCUUAUGCCUGCCCAUAACAUAACCCCACCACCACCCUGGGACACUCUGUUCACAGCGUUGACAUCAGCAAACCGCUCGCCCACACGACGCCGUACACGUUGUCUGCCAUCUGCCUGGUACAGUUCAAACCGGGAUUCAUCUGGGAAGAGCACACUUAUCCAGCGUGCCAGUGGCCAUCGAAGGUGAGCAUUUUCAACACCGAUGUCGGUUACGAUCUGCAGUCAGGGACAAGACCCUGGUGAGGACGACAAAAACUCAGAUAAGCUUCCCUGAAACGGUUUGUUGUAAAAUUCUUUAGGUUUGCAAACCCACAGUUUCAUCAGCUGAAAAUAUGCAACAAAAACAACGAUUUUACUGAGUUAGAGUUCACAUAAG